UGGGGAAUAUUGGACAAUGGGGCAACCCUGGAUCCAGCCAUGCCGCGUGAGUGAUGAAGGCCUUCGGGUUGUAAAGCUCUUUUGGCGGGACUGAUGGAUGACGGUACCCGCAGAAUAAGCCCCGGCUAACUUCGUGCCAGCAGCCGCGGUAAGACGAAGGGGGGCUAGCGUUGUUCGGAAUUACUGAGCGUAAAGCGAGUGUAGGCGGUUGCCGUAGUCAGGUGUGAAAGCCUUGAGCUCAACUCAAGAAAUGCACUUGAUACUGGGUGACUAGAGGACCGGAGAGGAUAGUGGAAUUCCCAGUGUAGUGGUGAAAUACGUAGAGAUUGGGAAGAACACCAGUGGCGAAGGCGGCUAUCUGGACGGUUACUGACGCUAAGACUCGAAGGCGUGGGGAGCAAAACAGGAUUAGAUACCCUGGUAGUCCACGCCGUAAAACGAUGGGUGCUAGACGUUGGCGAGCUUGCUCGUCAGUGUCGCAGCU
This 484-nucleotide ribosomal RNA is filed under the name uncultured bacterium. RNAcentral's name for it is "partial 16S ribosomal RNA". It matches the Rfam family "Bacterial small subunit ribosomal RNA", at positions 355 to 853 of the family's 1533-position model. The record is from RNAcentral.